GACGAACGCUGGCGGCGUGCUUAACACAUGCAAGUGGAGCGACGAACCAGGCUUCGGCCUGGGGCAAAGCCGCGAACGGGUGAGUAACACGUGGGUAACCUGCCCCGAUGACUGGGACGAACCCGGGGAAACCCGGGCGUAAUACCGGAUGCGCUCUCAUCACAUCAGUGAUGUGAGUAAAGGUAGCUUCGGCCUCCGCAUCGGGAGUGGGCCCGCCGGCCCAUUAGCUUGUUGGUGGGGUAACGGCCUACCAAGGCGACGAUGGGUAGCUGGUCUGAGAGGACGAUCAGCCACACUGGGACUGAGACA
Molecule: ribosomal RNA, 309 nt
Filed under: uncultured bacterium
Lineage: Bacteria
Description: bacterial SSU rRNA
Rfam family: Bacterial small subunit ribosomal RNA
Source: RNAcentral